Monodelphis domestica (gray short-tailed opossum) is the source of this 3587-nucleotide non-coding RNA. NCBI's taxonomy places the organism in Eukaryota, Metazoa, Chordata, Mammalia, Didelphimorphia, Didelphidae. The record is from RefSeq and is a predicted model, not a curated record.
CGGUGUUCCACCCUAUGCUCCGCCUUCUUAUCCUAAAGUUCGAGGCUGAGAAUAAUACGCUUGCUCACGUGGGUAAAUCGUCAGCUCGGGGGCGUCGCCGGGGUGGGGCUUUGACUUUGACCCUGAGUCAGCUAUGAAGAAACCGAGGCUGAGAGAUUAAAUGACCCAUCCAGCAAUCAAGUCUUCCUGACCCCAAACCCAAUGCUCCAUCCAUUGUCUUCAAAUGUUUUAUCAAACUAUUCUCCCUUGGUGGGAUUUGAUGUUCAACCUUGGGCAAAAUUCUUGAUGGCUCCAUUUUUCCUCCUCUGGUCUUUACUUCCCAAAUCAAUAACCCCAAAACAUUGAAGUAAUGAACAUUGUGUGGCUGGGAGAGACAACAGAGGUCACCUAACCCAACUGGCCCAUCUAAUGGAAAAGGAAAUGGAGUAUCAAAGAGACCAAGUGAUUUCUCAAGAAGCCUGAAAACUUGAGAAGAAAAAGAACAGCUCCAUAGUUAAGGCAAUUUUGGCUCAUAAGGAGUUGUCAAGCAAAGUUUCCAUAACCAGGGAUGAAGAUACUACAUCUCAUUCAUUUGACAACCAUUUAUUAAGCAGCGAUCUAUUUACUGGACCCUGUUCUGGACACUGGGAUAGACAUGAGGACAAAGAAGAAAUAUUCACUGCUCUCAAGAAGCUUAUGUUCAUUGCCCCUUAGGGGGACGGGGUAUAUAUAUAUGUAUACGUAUAUGUAAAUAAAAAUAUACAUAAAGUAAAGACACAGUCUGUAUGAACACUAGGAACUAAAGGGCUCAGACCUUAUCAGGGAGAUGUUAAGUAAGCUUAGCUUUGAAGGAAGUUGAUAUUUCAGGAAAUACAGUGAGGCGAGAGUAUUUCAGCCGUGGAGGGUAGGCAAAGGCAAAGGCAGAGGCGAGAGUGGAAAUGCUAUAUAUUGUACUGGAAGCUGUAAGUCUGGCUUUCAAUGUAGAAUUCGUGACAGGCAGUAAGGUAGAAGAAGCCUGGAAAAGAAGGCUGGAGCCAGACUGUGAGGGCUUUUUAAAAUGCCAAACAUAGAAAUUUGUAUUUUGUUCUAUACACACUAGGGAGCUAUUUGAGUUUCUUGAUCCAGAGCAGUGACAUAGUGUCAGAGACAUUUCACACUCACUUUUUUGGGGACCAAAUCAUUAGCAAAACUGAAGAAGAACACAUGGAUCAGGAACAGUUUUGUUUUGUUAUUUGUUGUUUUUCUUAAUAGGUGUUGAAUUUGAAACGUGACAAUAUUAAUAAUAAUAAAUUGAAUAAUAAUAUAAUAAUUAUAUCAUUUAAUGCCUUAUUAUAAAUUAUAACUGUAUAAUUAAUAAUAUGAAGCAAAGCUUGAUAUCUCACUUACCAAUUCCCCCACUGCAAAUGGCUUCUUUACCAUUAGCCAUCAGAUAGCUAGCUAUCUGAUCUCAGGCAGUAAUCAGAGAGCUCCUCCUCCCUCAGCUUUUCAGCUCAAAUAGUCUCUUAAGAAAGGAUGAGAGGAUUGAGAGAGAUAACUAAGUAUUUCCCUUGAAGUUUUUCUAAGACAGGAUGGAAAACAGGUAUGUCUGAUUGCUGGAGUGAGAAUAUCCCUGGUGACGUGAUAUAUGUUCACGUCUUGGUGGAAUUCACUGGGGCUCCAACACAUGGUGGAACUUUUAUUCCAAGAAAGAAAGAAACAUGAGCACAUUUCACCUGUGGGCAGGCACGAGGGCUUGUAUUGCCCAAUUGUCAUGGGGUGGUGACGCCAUCCAUACACAAACAAAUGUGUGGAUAGGGGAACAUUCAUUCCACUUGGCCCCAGUACAUUGUGCAAAUGUUCACAACUGCCCUACCCAGAAGGUUUAAUGUUAGUGAUAAAAAAAAAAAAAAGUGUUGCCAGGAUUGAUGGGGAAUAAACGAGCUGGCUCUUGGGACUUUGCCUAAAGCAGCUCAAGCCUGAGUGGGUAGCUGGGAAGGUCGUGUUACUUCCCAUUUGUUAGCACUGCAGUUAAUUUUUCAGUUUCUCCCUGUUGUUAAAACGAUGAUGGGCAUUUUGCCUCAUGAAAUAAAUUGCAAAAAUAAGAAAAAAUGGUGAUUUUUUUCACACCCCUAUGACUUGGGAGUUUGGGAAGGAGCUUUGCUGGACUCCAAACUUCUGAAUUCACAGAAAGGACCUUUUUUUUUUUUUUGGUGUGGGCUCCUUCCAACUGGCAGCCUCACCUGCUUUCCUUCGCCACACAGCACAAGCUCAAGCACUCAAGGGAGCCGUGUGUCCAAUAUCAUGGCUAAGGGCUUGUCAGCUUUGCUGAGGUGGAAAUAGAAAACACAGCCGCUUGGCUUCCAUCUUUUGGGCACAUUCUAAGGAGACUUGUUGGCUUGGCUGGGGCAAGGAUAUGAUGCCAGCCAUGAGGGUGCUUGUGCUGGAGGUAAUUUCAGAGUGCUGUGGGUCAUGGUUAUCAUCAACAAUGCUCUGUCACUGGCUAUGAACAUCUUUGUAGGUGAGACCAUAGGAACAUAUUAAAAGUAGAAGAGAUCAUAGAGGGUUCUAGUCCAGCUUUCUCUUUUAUACAUGAAGGAAAUUUAAGAUUAAAAUUAAUAUCCAAUAACUCCAAGUGUUUUAUAAGAUUUAUUAAUAAUCACUUGAAGUAAAGGAAUAAAAAGGUAAUUAUCUAACAAAAUAAAGUCACAUGCCCAAGUUCUCCUUGUCUGUUUAAAAGAACUGCUCCAUCAAAGUCACAUCAGGAAGAGAAGAGAGAGAGGGUGGAGUUACAGAAAGUUUUAACUAUAAAACAUAAGGAUAGAACUUGAGGAUGAAAUUGGAAUUCUGGGAAAUGGAGUCCUGGGGUACAAAAUUCUAAUUACAUGAAACUGAGGCCCAAAGAAUAAGGGGCAGAGUCAGAAUUCAGACUCAGGUCAUCUGACUGCAGUGUCAAUGCUCUUUUCCCUAUUCCAUAUUCCCAAAAUGAUGGUGGUAGGUUUGCCAAGGAGAAAAACUCAAUGAUCUGGCAUUUGCGCUUCCAUACACCAUAUCUAGAACAAUGCUUAAUCUUCUUUCCAUUCAUUUGUUUAUUUAUUCCUUUAGUCAAUAACAAGCAUUUAUUGAGUGACUACUCUAUGCCCGGCACUGUCCUAGGUGCUAGUUGCCACAACAAGAAGAUGGUCCAAUCAUGCUCUAGGAGCUUCCAUUAGAAGGAGGAGGGUGCACAUUGAAAAGAGUACUAGAGAGGGGUCUGGAGCAGUGGGUUCUAUACCAGACUCCAUCAGUCUGGAACUUUGAACAAAUGAUUGGAAUUCUUUGUAAUUAUUUUCUCAUCCACCUAAUGACAUGAUGACUCUUGCACUGUCUCCUGCAAGGAAUAAUGAUGAGGACCAAAUAAGAUCAACUCAUAUUUUGUCAUGGUGCAUGUGCUAUUUAGAGAAAUAGAUAGUACAGUGGCUAGAAAGCUCGAUUUGGAUUUGUAAAGACUUGAGUUUGAAUCCUGCUUUAGGGACCCUGAUUUAGCUAUGUGAUUCUGGGAAGUCUAGGUUUCUGUGUUUGUUAAAUGGGGAGAAUGACAGCAUAGACCUGUCAGGAUUGUUAUGAGGAUAUGAGAUAACUAUAAAAUAUUC